This 492-nucleotide ribosomal RNA is filed under the name uncultured bacterium. Its description in RNAcentral is "partial 16S ribosomal RNA". It matches the Rfam family "Bacterial small subunit ribosomal RNA", at positions 29 to 507 of the family's 1533-position model. The record is from RNAcentral.
AGUGAACGCUGGCGGUAGGCCUAACACAUGCAAGUCGAACGGCAGCACAGUAAGAGCUUGCUCUUACGGGUGGCGAGUGGCGGACGGGUGAGGAAUACAUCGGAAUCUACUUUUUCGUGGGGGAUAACGUAGGGAAACUUACGCUAAUACCGCAUACGACCUACGGGUGAAAGCAGGGGAUCUUCGGACCUUGCGCGAUUGUAUGAGCCGAUGUCGGAUUAGCUAGUUGGCGGGGUAAAGGCCCACCAAGGCGACGAUCCGUAGCUGGUCUGAGAGGAUGAUCAGCCACACUGGAACUGAGACACGGUCCAGACUCCUACGGGAGGCAGCAGUGGGGAAUAUUGGACAAUGGGCGAAAGCCUGAUCCAGCAAUACCGCGUGGGUGAAGAAGGCCUUCGGGUUGUAAAGCCCUUUUGUUGGGAAAGAAAAGCAGCAGGUUAAUACCCAGAUGUUCUGACGGUACCCAAAGAAUAAGCACCGGCUAACUUCGUG